UGUCAACCCAGGACAUGGUGUUUGCGC
RNAcentral lists this non-coding RNA (27 nucleotides) under Rattus norvegicus (Norway rat). Lineage: Eukaryota; Metazoa; Chordata; Mammalia; Rodentia; Muridae. The record is from RNAcentral.